GACCUCCCAGGAUCCUGUGUGGAGAGUGGUUUAUAUUCUGCCAGCUUCAGAGACGGGAGAGAAAGGAAGCCUGGCAGAGGUACGCAUUCUGUUCCCAGUUUGCUCAGUAGCUGGAGACUGGAAGACACUGCAACAAGG
This is a small nucleolar RNA of Hyaena hyaena (striped hyena), 138 nucleotides long. The record is from RefSeq and is a predicted model, not a curated record. Lineage: Eukaryota; Metazoa; Chordata; Mammalia; Carnivora; Hyaenidae.